RNAcentral lists this ribosomal RNA (492 nucleotides) under uncultured bacterium. RNAcentral describes it as "partial 16S ribosomal RNA". It matches the Rfam family "Bacterial small subunit ribosomal RNA", at positions 30 to 507 of the family's 1533-position model. The record is from RNAcentral.
AUUGAACGCUGGCGGCAUGCUUUACACAUGCCAGUCGAACGGUAACAGGGUUACGGGUGCUGCCGACUGGCGACCGGGGGCGUAAUGCUUCGGAACGUACCCGGAUCUACGGUUUAAUGCAGGGAAAGGUGUGCUAAUUUCGCAUGUGACCUGAGGCUGCAUACGGGGGACAGCACGGGAACUUUUGACCUCGCGCCUUUGGAGGAGCCGAUGUCGGAUUAGCUAGUUGGUGGGGUAAAGGCCUACCAAGGCGACGAUCCGUAGCUGGUCUGAGAGGACGACCAGCCACACUGGGACUGAGACACGGCCCAGACUCCUACGGGAGGCAGCAGUGGGGAAUUUUGGACAAUGGGCGCAAGCCUGAUCCAGCAAUGCCGCGUGCGGGAAGAAGGCCUUCGGGUUGUAAAGCGCUUUUGUUAGGAACGAAACGGAGUCGGCUAAUACCCGGCGCUAAUGACGGUACCUGCAGAAUAAGCACCGGCUAACUUCGUG